UCGACCACACUUCUGGCUGGGUCCUGUUCAAGUAAGGUCGUACCUCUGUGUCCUUGAGUUCUAAGGAGACAGGAAACCAAACCUAGUGGAUGAUUCAUGACCUUGUGAUCAGAGCGUGAUUAACAAAUUGAUGCACUUCGGUUCAUUGUUGCUGUAGAGGAUCGUUCUCAUCUAGUUCUCUAGCUGGGGUGGUCGCACUGUUGUCUGACAGUUU
This is a small nucleolar RNA of Humulus lupulus (European hop), 214 nucleotides long. RefSeq annotates it as small nucleolar RNA U3. The transcript has a single exon. Lineage: Eukaryota; Viridiplantae; Streptophyta; Magnoliopsida; Rosales; Cannabaceae. The record is from RefSeq and is a predicted model, not a curated record.